AGAAAUGCAGAAGCAGAUGGUACUGCUGAACCAAAUGUGUGAAAGGCUAGUAACUCAUAGAUGCAUAUAAUUUUUAGAGUUGGAAGAGACCAAGGAGUUAAAUUCAUCUAACUCCCAUUCUAUAAGUAUUUCAGAUGACUGCAGUUGUGUCCUCAUCAUCAAUCUCUAAAUGAAGUUACUUGAAGCAAUUCUUGAAACCAUAAUAAUAAUGUCUCCAGAAUUGGUGGAUUCUUGGUCUCACUGACUUCAAGAAUGAAGCCACGGACCCUCGCGAAGGACUUUGGACAACAAUUUCUUUGACUGAAACUGGGGUCAGAGUUGCAGACUCCCUGGAACAUGAAAAGUCAAUAAUCUAGUUCCCAAAAGGCAGACAAGAAACUAUUCCCAAGAUGAACAAAUGAUGAGAAUAGAGGUAAAGGUGAAAAUGAUGCUUUGAUGCCUGAAGGUACAACAAACAUCUCAUGACUAUGAGGGGAUGAAAAUGGAUACCAAGGAUACCAAGAUGAUGGAACAAAAAGAAUUGAUUUGGAACAUGACGGCACUAUGGAUUCAUCGUAUUGGACCUCUGUGAUAUAAUUCUGAACUUUUCAUAUAAGACUAAUAUACCCCUACUUGUUUAAUACAACUGUAGAGUUAUCUGCUACUUGCAGCCAAAUGUAAUCCUAACUAAUAUAGGCAAUAAAUCAUGUUUUUAUAUCACUAUGUAGGUCUUCCAAUCUAUUGUCUUUGCCAGAGCUGUCUCCAUUCUUCUAAAAGGUCCCAACUUCCAAAAUUCAAAACCAAGAAAACAACCUCUUUUCUCUGACAUUUUUAUUGGGUCAGACAUUUUGCUGUGUCAGAAAAUGAUUCCAUAUAAUUUGUCCAAAUGGGGAAGGGCUAUGCGAGAUACAAGGAAUUAUAGGGAGAAAAUUAUUGACACAUAUUUAAAAAUAUAUCUCAGCAUAGUUACAAAUACACAGAAACCCAUCCAAAUUAGACUAAGACAGUAAAUUUAUUGGGUGGAUGUAAGUAUA
Molecule: long non-coding RNA, 1013 nt
Filed under: Homo sapiens (human)
Lineage: Eukaryota; Metazoa; Chordata; Mammalia; Primates; Hominidae
Description: HSALNT0376247
Source: RNAcentral